This is a non-coding RNA of Mycena epipterygia, 86 nucleotides long. The record is from the annotation of a GenBank genome assembly. NCBI's taxonomy places the organism in Eukaryota, Fungi, Basidiomycota, Agaricomycetes, Agaricales, Mycenaceae.
GUUACCAUAGUUCAGUGGUAGAACUGUUCCCCAUGUUGAAUUCUCAGCAUGUCGGGAGGUCGGAGGUUCGAAUCCUUCGGGUGCCA